GGGCGUUUAACUCAGUGGUAGAGUGCCUGCUUUGCAUUGGCUUCUCGAAGCCGAAGACUGCAUGAAGCCGUGAGUUCAAUCCUCACAACGUCCA
Sistotremastrum niveocremeum HHB9708 is the source of this 94-nucleotide transfer RNA. It matches the Rfam family "tRNA". Rfam says of the family: Transfer RNA (tRNA) molecules are approximately 80 nucleotides in length. Their secondary structure includes four short double-helical elements and three loops (D, anti-codon, and T loops). The record is from Rfam. NCBI's taxonomy places the organism in Eukaryota, Fungi, Basidiomycota, Agaricomycetes, Sistotremastrales, Sistotremastraceae.